GGUAAUUCCAGCUCCAAUAGCGUAUGCUAAUGUUGUUGCAGUUAAAAAGCUCGUAGUUGGAUUUUUAAGGGUGUCUGCUUCUAGCGUCCUACGUGACUUUAAAGUUGCAGACUCCCCUUAUUUUGCCUCAGUGCUCGGUUGGGAUUCAUUUCUCGAUCGGGCUUCCGGGGCGUGUUUACUUUGAGAAAAUUAGAGUGUUCAAAACAGUCUUGUGAUUGUAUAUCAUAGCAUGGAAUAAUAACUGAUGACGUCGGUCAUUUUUUGUUGGUUCGGAUGGCUGAAGUAAUGAUUGAUAGAGUUAGUCGGAGGUAUUAGUAUUUUAUCGUUAGAGGUGAAAUUCAUGGAUCGGUAAAAGACUAACAACUGCGAAAGCAUUUAUCUAGGAUUUGCUCUUUGAUCAAGAACGAAAGUUGGGGGAUCGAAGACGAUCAGAUACCGUCGUAGUCUCAACUAUAAACUAUACCAGCUAGGGAUUGGUGGGCGUUGCUUGACCUCAUC
This 498-nucleotide ribosomal RNA is filed under the name uncultured radiolarian. RNAcentral describes it as "SSU rRNA". It matches the Rfam family "Eukaryotic small subunit ribosomal RNA", at positions 578 to 1081 of the family's 1831-position model. The record is from RNAcentral.